GUGGAGCGGCAGCAGCGGCGCCCCCAACGCGAGGCAUGGCGGCAAGGUCUCAGCUUCCUGACGCUGAGACACGAGAGAUUAGGACGGUGUGGCCUCAAGCCCUCAACCUAUUGGCAUGAAGGUAACCCUGGGCAUGGCGGCAAGGUCUCAGCCUCCUGACGCGGAGACAUGGAGGAUUAGGACGGCGUGGCCUCAAGGCCUCAACCUAUUGGCAUGAAGUUUUGUAGGUCAUACCCGAAGUGUUCGCUUGACCCGUCGUGCUAGGCCGUAACCUUGCCAGUCCUGUGAGUUGUGGAGCCCAGCCAGAGUUGUUAUGCUGUCAAACCAAGACUUUUGUCGCCAUUUAAAUAAGUUUCCGCUGCCAUUUCAAUAGCCUUAGAACUAUGUCAGAUAAUUGUAUUCAUCAAUGAUGUAAUCUUUUAUACAUGUAUUUGAUGAAUAUUCUUGUACCUGGAAUGCUGUAUUAUGGACCUAUCGUGCGUCAGGUGUUAUCCUGGGCUGACGUGCAAAGGCCCCCUGCUCCAUGCAGAUCGGGGUGCCACAACUCGGGAGG
RNAcentral lists this ribosomal RNA (553 nucleotides) under Triticum aestivum (bread wheat). Its description in RNAcentral is "partial small subunit ribosomal RNA". The record is from RNAcentral. Lineage: Eukaryota; Viridiplantae; Streptophyta; Magnoliopsida; Poales; Poaceae.